AUGAUGGUGGCGGGAGAGAUCCCUCUAUGGGGCGCCGAAGGAGCAACCUUAUUUUCUCAGGCUGGAGAAAAUUUGGUAAACUCUCAGGCAAAAGGACUGUCACCGGACG
Molecule: non-coding RNA, 109 nt
Filed under: Desulfotomaculum nigrificans
Lineage: Bacteria; Bacillati; Bacillota; Clostridia; Eubacteriales; Desulfotomaculaceae
Also listed under: 1 other name
Description: Glycine sequence
Rfam family: Glycine riboswitch aptamer
About the family: This family represents the bacterial glycine riboswitch.
Source: RNAcentral